GAUGAAGAACGAGCGAAAUGCGAUAAGUAAUGCGAAUUGCAGAAUUCCAGUGAGUCAUCGAAUCUUUGAACGCACAUUGCGCCCUUUGGUAUUCCGAAGGGCAUGCCUGUUCGAGCGUCAUUAUCACCCCUCAAGCCCUCGGCUUGGUGUUGGACGGUUUGGUGGAGGCCCCCUCGGGGGUUCCUGCCCCUCCCAAAGACAAUGACGGCGGCCUCGUUGGACCCCCGGUACACUGAGUUCUUCACGGGACACGUAUCGGACACAUGGGUUUACGGGACACGGUCUGCCUCCCCUCAGGGAGAAUCUUUCUAAGGUUGACCUCGGAUCAGGUAGGGAUACCCGCUGAACUUAAGCAUAUCAAUAAGCGGAGGA
Molecule: unclassified non-coding RNA, 372 nt
Filed under: soil metagenome
Description: partial contains 5.8S ribosomal RNA, internal transcribed spacer 2, and large subunit ribosomal RNA
Rfam family: 5.8S ribosomal RNA (bases 1-120)
Source: RNAcentral